GCUACGGAGGUGCCAGCAGACGCGGGAGUACGUAGGGCGCAAGGGGUGUCCGGAAUUAUGGGGCGUAAAGAGCGCGUAGGCGGUCUGUUGCGUCCGCUGUGAAAACUCGGGGGUUAACCCCGAGCCUGCAGUGGAUACGGGCAGACUAGAGGUAGGUAGGGGAGAAUGGAAUUCCCGGUGUAGCGGUGAAAUGCGCAGAUAUCGGGAGGAACACCGGUGGCGAAGGCGGUUCUCUGGGCCUUACCUGACGCUGAGGAGCGAAAGCGUGGGGAGCGAACAGGAUUAGAUACCCCGGUAGUC
Molecule: ribosomal RNA, 300 nt
Filed under: uncultured Nocardiopsis sp.
Lineage: Bacteria; Bacillati; Actinomycetota; Actinomycetes; Streptosporangiales; Nocardiopsidaceae
Description: bacterial SSU rRNA
Rfam family: Bacterial small subunit ribosomal RNA
Source: RNAcentral